UGAUCUCAAAAUCGAGCAUUUCACCCGAAGAGAAAAAGAUAUUUUUAUCAAAUUUAAUUUUGCUAUUAGCUAAAGAUCUUGGGAAUGAUGUCAAAUAAUGUACCCACAGGUAGUUACAGUCUACAGCAUGUGUAGUCAUAACUAUCGCAUUCGCACUCUAUGAGUUAAUUGGCUUUGUCUAUGACUUGUAUAGAUAAAGCUAUUUGUAGAAUCUUUACACAUAAUCAAUUUACUUUUACUUAC
Molecule: long non-coding RNA, 243 nt
Filed under: Musa acuminata (dwarf banana)
Lineage: Eukaryota; Viridiplantae; Streptophyta; Magnoliopsida; Zingiberales; Musaceae
Description: long non-coding RNA (MACU_LNC006994)
Source: RNAcentral